CUUCUCUGAGCCGCGAGAGUCUGCUUGCUUCCUAUUGGCGAGGGGCGAUGGCACGGCGUUCUCUUCACCCCCCCUCCCCCCCUGGCUUUCAGUUGGCCUGUCAAGGGCAAGAAGAAUGGCAGGAGCUGAUGAGGCCACAGAGCGGAUGGAGAUGUGCUUCUAGAGAGACAUUCAUUAUGUGCACUGGUACCUGGUUAUGCAUCUGCGUCCACAUCAGAUGUUUGCAUGGAGAUAUUCACUAUUGGCCUAGGGCUACUAAAGAUUAACUUUUUCUGCCAGCAUCCUUCAACAUAGACGUGGACUUCUGAAGACCAAUUCGGACAACUUCACACCAUUCACCCAGCAGCUGAAGCCGGCAGCUGUAGAAGCAGCAACAGUAGACACAGCACACAGAAAACAGGAUUAAGAAGCGUCCCUAAAUGCAAUUGUGUCUAACAAGAUGACAGCGUGACAAGGUGAUGUCUUACCUUCACGGCAAACUCUGCUUCUGUGGAUUUGUGUACACACCUCUUGCAUACUGAAUGCAGCCUUACCUGGACAAUGGGGUGAACUGUGAUUUUGUGGACAUCUUGCUGUGGAGGCUCCUGCACCAAGUUGGAUGCAACGAAGCUGAAUCCCCUGAAGAGAUUAUGAGCAUUGGCACUUGGAGGGACGCCUGGGGAAUCUGCAGAGGAGCUUCCAACUGAAUCGGGGGGGAAAGAACGGAGCUGCAUUUUAAUCCGGUAAUGUGAACCUAGCCUAUGUCAUCCAAUCACCUGAAGACUUUACCACUCUCCCAUUUCCCUGGAUUUCUGAAUAGAUGCAGGUGUGUUGGAAAUUCUUGUCCACACUACAGUUUCUGUCCAUGCUAGUAUUACUCCAGAUUUUAUAGAGCCAAACUGGUGUAGGAAAAUAUCACAGUAUGGACUCCUUCCAUGUAAUCUGGUCAUUUCACAAAAUGCUGGAGGCAUAGAAAGGAACAUUGCUGCCGCAGCAACCACACUGCCAGAGAAAUGCAAAAGCUCACACUAACCUGAUCUCUAUAACUGAGAAAUUGCCUCAGGUUAUAAGAGCGAUGACUGACUACAGCAAUUUGAGAACUCUGCAGUGAAUGAGCUAAUUUGGUUUUAGCUUGGGACAGAAAGGAGCCAUUUCUGAGGUGCUAUUACUAUAUGUCAGAAUCUUAUGCGGGGAGGAAACAGAAGAUAUGAAUAGGGUGGGUCAAAGCAUAACACUCUCUCACUCAUCUGCACCCCUCGCCUUGCUGCAAAUCUGGAAGGGGAAAAAAGGCUGGUGUUUUAUUAGGUUUUGCUUAGAGCUCUAAUAUUUCCAGCGAUGUGUAGUCUAGUUGCCAUAGGAAGCUGUGGUGUUAUAGUAUAUAUAAUGCAGGAGACACCUGUGGAAGAACAAUGUAUCUGUAUAACUGAUUAUUGGGCUCUUGGAAAAGCCAGAAAAUUUAAGUUACAGAGAACUAAGUCAAAACUGUAUGAAAAACUAUCUGGAUUGGCAUCCUUUCCCCCCAGGAUCACCUGGUCAUAAUGUUCAUAGAAAGUUAUUUUUAUUGUUUCAAAAGAGGGGUGUCUAGCUGUGGAUUAAGAAAGGGGAGGAAGGCUUCUUUUAAAAUAUAGCUAGACAUUCUGUGUCAGCAUUAAAUUUCAUGGUUUGCAUUAAGAACCUACAAGACUACCGGCCGGCCCUAUCCCAUGUUGUAUAUGUACUGGAUUUGAAACUGACUUUUGCAUAUGAACUUGUUUUAAAUGGUUUGAAUAUGGGAUUCUUUUUACAUAUGGAAUUGUUUUUGUUUCUACAUAUGGAAUAAAAAAAUCCUUUUA
Podarcis muralis (Common wall lizard) is the source of this 1811-nucleotide non-coding RNA. The record is from RefSeq and is a predicted model, not a curated record. NCBI's taxonomy places the organism in Eukaryota, Metazoa, Chordata, Lepidosauria, Squamata, Lacertidae.